This 253-nucleotide ribosomal RNA is filed under the name uncultured bacterium. RNAcentral's name for it is "partial 16S ribosomal RNA". It matches the Rfam family "Bacterial small subunit ribosomal RNA", at positions 524 to 776 of the family's 1533-position model. The record is from RNAcentral.
UACGGGGGGGGCAAGCGUUGUUCGGAGUUACUGGGCGUAAAGGGCGCGUAGGCGGCCUGCUAAGUCGGACGUGAAAUCCCUCGGCUCAACCGAGGAACUGCGUCCGAUACUGGUGGGCUUGAAUCCGGGAGAGGGAUGUGGAAUUCCAGGUGUAGCGGUGAAAUGCGUAGAUAUCUGGAGGAACACCGGUGGCGAAGGCGGCAUCCUGGACCGGUAUUGACGCUGAGGCGCGAAAGCUAGGGGAGCAAACGGG